UCCCUGGUGGUCCAGUGGUUAAGACUCUGCCUUCCCAAUGCAGGGAGCCCAGGUUCAAUCCCUGGUCAGGGAA
Molecule: transfer RNA, 73 nt
Filed under: Ovis aries (sheep)
Lineage: Eukaryota; Metazoa; Chordata; Mammalia; Artiodactyla; Bovidae
Rfam family: tRNA
About the family: Transfer RNA (tRNA) molecules are approximately 80 nucleotides in length. Their secondary structure includes four short double-helical elements and three loops (D, anti-codon, and T loops). Further hydrogen bonds mediate the characteristic L-shaped molecular structure. tRNAs have two regions of fundamental functional importance: the anti-codon, which is responsible for specific mRNA codon recognition, and the 3' end, to which the tRNAs corresponding amino acid is attached (by aminoacyl-tRNA synthetases). tRNAs cope with the degeneracy of the genetic code in two manners: having more than one tRNA (with a specific anti-codon) for a particular amino acid; and 'wobble' base-pairing, i.e. permitting non-standard base-pairing at the 3rd anti-codon position.
Source: Rfam by way of RNAcentral